Molecule: long non-coding RNA, 525 nt
Organism: Epinephelus lanceolatus (giant grouper)
Lineage: Eukaryota; Metazoa; Chordata; Actinopteri; Perciformes; Serranidae
Source: RefSeq, a predicted model, not a curated record
GCGAGAAGCCAUACACACAGCGAGCAGAAGCUCCCAGAUAUUGAAGAUAAUUCUCCUCAUUAAACUAACUUAAUCAGAGGUAUACAGCCUUGUGCCGUGUUUAAUCCGACCCAGGAGGAGUCCGACGCUGAUUUGAGGCUGCAUAAAACGUUAAUCACGUCGGCAUACUCCCUCUCAUCUGCAGAGAGCCUGAACCUUGACGUCGCUCGGAAGUGGAGCGGACGAGAAAUCGGUCAGGUCUUUAAGUUGAGUGAGAAGAUCCAUGAAGACGGUCCAGAAGAUUACAGUAGAUUCCAGUAGAUGGCGAGCCACCCACCUUGAUCCCAGGACCAGUGUCUACAUUUCCGCUGAAAUAGCAGAUGAACUAUCUGCUUUGUGGUAGGAUCAUGCCAGUCACCUGGAUUGUUACCGACUCAAACUCAUAUUAGAAAGAGUGCACUCCAACGAUACUUUAGAUCCCGUGGAUUCCUGACGUUUUUGAACUCACAGAUCAAAAUCCAAUUGAUCUGAACUGACUUGGACAUU